This 1239-nucleotide ribosomal RNA is filed under the name Massilia brevitalea. RNAcentral describes it as "bacterial SSU rRNA". It matches the Rfam family "Bacterial small subunit ribosomal RNA", at positions 210 to 1442 of the family's 1533-position model. The record is from RNAcentral. Lineage: Bacteria; Pseudomonadati; Pseudomonadota; Betaproteobacteria; Burkholderiales; Oxalobacteraceae.
ACCUCAUGCUCCUGGAGCGGCCGAUAUCUGAUUAGCUAGUUGGUGAGGUAAAGGCUCACCAAGGCGACGAUCAGUAGCUGGUCUGAGAGGACGACCAGCCACACUGGAACUGAGACACGGUCCAGACUCCUACGGGAGGCAGCAGUGGGGAAUUUUGGACAAUGGGCGCAAGCCUGAUCCAGCAAUGCCGCGUGAGUGAAGAAGGCCUUCGGGUUGUAAAGCUCUUUUGUCAGGGAAGAAACGGUGGGAGCUAAUAUCUCCUACUAAUGACGGUACCUGAAGAAUAAGCACCGGCUAACUACGUGCCAGCAGCCGCGGUAAUACGUAGGGUGCAAGCGUUAAUCGGAAUUACUGGGCGUAAAGCGUGCGCAGGCGGUUUUGUAAGUCUGUCGUGAAAGCCCCGGGCUCAACCUGGGAAUUGCGAUGGAGACUGCAAGGCUUGAAUCUGGCAGAGGGGGGUAGAAUUCCACGUGUAGCAGUGAAAUGCGUAGAGAUGUGGAGGAACACCGAUGGCGAAGGCAGCCCCCUGGGUCAAGAUUGACGCUCAUGCACGAAAGCGUGGGGAGCAAACAGGAUUAGAUACCCUGGUAGUCCACGCCCUAAACGAUGUCUACUAGUUGUCGGGUUUUAAUUAACUUGGUAACGCAGCUAACGCGUGAAGUAGACCGCCUGGGGAGUACGGUCGCAAGAUUAAAACUCAAAGGAAUUGACGGGGACCCGCACAAGCGGUGGAUGAUGUGGAUUAAUUCGAUGCAACGCGAAAAACCUUACCUACCCUUGACAUGUACGGAAGCCACGAGAGAUCGAGGUGUGCUCGAAAGAGAGCCGUAACACAGGUGCUGCAUGGCUGUCGUCAGCUCGUGUCGUGAGAUGUUGGGUUAAGUCCCGCAACGAGCGCAACCCUUGUCAUUAGUUGCUACAUUUAGUUGAGCACUCUAAUGAGACUGCCGGUGACAAACCGGAGGAAGGUGGGGAUGACGUCAAGUCCUCAUGGCCCUUAUGGGUAGGGCUUCACACGUCAUACAAUGGUACAUACAGAGGGCCGCCAACCCGCGAGGGGGAGCUAAUCCCAGAAAGUGUAUCGUAGUCCGGAUCGCAGUCUGCAACUCGACUGCGUGAAGUUGGAAUCGCUAGUAAUCGCGGAUCAGCAUGUCGCGGUGAAUACGUUCCCGGGUCUUGUACACACCGCCCGUCACACCAUGGGAGCGGGUUUUACCAGNAAGUAGGUAGCUUAACCGC